Molecule: non-coding RNA, 29 nt
Filed under: Mus musculus (house mouse)
Lineage: Eukaryota; Metazoa; Chordata; Mammalia; Rodentia; Muridae
Source: RNAcentral
UAGGUGUCUGUAUAGCAUAGUGUAACAUA